Molecule: ribosomal RNA, 818 nt
Filed under: uncultured fungus
Lineage: Eukaryota; Fungi
Description: eukaryotic LSU rRNA
Rfam family: Eukaryotic large subunit ribosomal RNA
Source: RNAcentral
GAAUUGUAGUUUAUAGAAGCGUUUUCGGUGGCAGCCUGGGUAUAAGUCCUUUGGAAUAGGGCAUCAUAGAGGGUGAGAAUCCCGUCUUUGACUCAGUGCAUGCUACUAUGUGAUACGUUUUCAAAGAGUCGAGUUGUUUGGGAAUGCAGCUCAAAAUGGGUGGUAAAUUUCAUCUAAAGCUAAAUAUUGGCGAGAGACCGAUAGCGAACAAGUACCGUGAGGGAAAGAUGAAAAGAACUUUGAAAAGAGAGUUAAACAGUGCGUGAAAUUGUUGAAAGGGAAACGCUUGACACCAGUUAUGCGGGUGGAAAAUCAGUCUUUUGCAAUGGGGAGUUGUGGGCGUUCAGACCGCAAGGCUGGCGUUUGCUUCAUCUUUGUUGUAAGUGAUGCACUUUUUCAUUUGCAGGUCAACAUCAGUUUGCUUUGCUGGACAAAACUCCAAGGGAAGGUGACAGCUUAGGCUGUGUUAUAGCCCUGGAGCGAUACAGUGGAGUGGACUGAGGUUUCGCAGUGUGUGCUUUUAGCAAGGCUGACUGGGUGCUAUGGGAUCGUUCGGCGUACAAUGCAUGCAUUUUGCGUCGUGUCUUUUUCAUACUCGCUCAACUCGGCUCUUCCACGCUUAGGAUGUUGACUUAAUGGUUUUAAUCGACCCGUCUUGAAACACGGACCAAGGAGUCUAACAUAUAUGCAAGUGUUUGGGUGGCAAACCCAUGCGCGUAAUGAAAGUGAACGUAGGUGCCAUCCGCAAGGUGCAGCAUCGACCGAUCUUGAUAUUUUUGGAUAGAUUUGAGUAAGAGCAUAUAUGCUGGGACCCGAAA